RNAcentral lists this transfer RNA (52 nucleotides) under Spinibdella lignicola. RNAcentral describes it as "tRNA-Ser". Lineage: Eukaryota; Metazoa; Arthropoda; Arachnida; Trombidiformes; Bdellidae. The record is from RNAcentral.
AUAACAAAAAACUUAGGCUGCUAACCUAACAUUUAAUUUUUAAUUUGUUUAU